CAACCAUACAGUAAAUCUAUGUCUUGGAAGUGCAGAUGAUACAAGCAUUACAUUCCUCCAUAGAAACUUAGGAAAUAUAGGAAGAAGAGCAGUAUAGAAUUUAUGAAUUUGGAACUUUCCAAAUGUACAAACAGAUUGAAGCCUGUUGAAUAAACUGCCUUGCAACUGAGUAUUAUCCAUCAUGAGAGCUCUACUGGCCAAUAUCUUCUUGAUG
RNAcentral lists this long non-coding RNA (214 nucleotides) under Nicotiana benthamiana. RNAcentral describes it as "long non-coding RNA (NBEN_LNC034968)". The record is from RNAcentral. Lineage: Eukaryota; Viridiplantae; Streptophyta; Magnoliopsida; Solanales; Solanaceae.